UACUCCUACGGGAGGCAGCAGUAGGGAAUCUUCCGCAAUGGACGAAAGUCUGACGGAGCAACGCCGCGUGAGUGAUGAAGGCUUUCGGGUCGUAAAACUCUGUUGUUAGGGAAGAACAAGUGCUAGUUGAAUAAGCUGGCACCUUGACGGUACCUAACCAGAAAGCCACGGCUAACUACGUGCCAGCAGCCGCGGUAAUA
RNAcentral lists this ribosomal RNA (200 nucleotides) under Bacillus cereus. Its description in RNAcentral is "16S ribosomal RNA". It matches the Rfam family "Bacterial small subunit ribosomal RNA", at positions 334 to 525 of the family's 1533-position model. RNAcentral also lists the same sequence under 1 other name. The record is from RNAcentral. Lineage: Bacteria; Bacillati; Bacillota; Bacilli; Caryophanales; Bacillaceae.